Molecule: long non-coding RNA, 611 nt
Filed under: Phoenix dactylifera (date palm)
Lineage: Eukaryota; Viridiplantae; Streptophyta; Magnoliopsida; Arecales; Arecaceae
Description: long non-coding RNA (PDAC_LNC007395)
Source: RNAcentral
CUUCUCCCGUGCUCCGUACCUUAUCCAAGCUACACUACCACAAUUCCAAUUGCAAGCCAUCUCAGCCAUUCAUCUUGCAUCCACGUCAUCCUUCCCACGCUCAUAUUUAAACUUCCCCUCGCGUCCGUGUCGUCUUCCACAUCGAGUUCAUCUUUAUCCCAUCUCCCAACCAACUCCGGCUCUCAUUUUGUUCUGAUCAUCCUUAUCCCAGCAUCCUCUCCCUUCGGAAUAAAGCCCCAGCUCAUCCCGCCUUCAUCCGUUCAGCAUCUAUCAACAAAUCCCAGCAUUCGGAUGAAUCCCUUGCAUCCUCUUCCCCUAUUCCGAAACAAAGGUAACAACCAUCCGUGAUUCAAGGCCCCUUCCAGAUUAUUUCCCAGCAUCUCCCCCCUACUCAAAUGAUCCAAACUCCAUGCUCCCCACGACCAAACUCCCAUCCACGUCAUUGUUCUUCCGAACUACUAGAUUUCCUCUCGUUCCAUCCACAGAUCUCCUCCCAAUUAAAUCCAAUCUCUCCCCUGUAUCACGUUCAUCCUUAUCCCACGAACAGAAUUCAUCCGCAGCCGUGAGCAUAGUCAACGUCGCAUCCCAAACCUCCUAGCUAUCAGCCGAAN